Molecule: non-coding RNA, 148 nt
Filed under: Chlamydotis macqueenii (Macqueen's bustard)
Lineage: Eukaryota; Metazoa; Chordata; Aves; Otidiformes; Otididae
Description: Chlamydotis undulata macqueenii Nuclear RNase P
Rfam family: Nuclear RNase P
About the family: Ribonuclease P (RNase P) is a ubiquitous endoribonuclease, found in archaea, bacteria and eukarya as well as chloroplasts and mitochondria. Its best characterised activity is the generation of mature 5'-ends of tRNAs by cleaving the 5'-leader elements of precursor-tRNAs.
Source: Rfam by way of RNAcentral
GCGGGGGUGACCCUGCUCCCGCACGGGACCCCGGCGGAUGCUCAUGGCCCCGCGGUGCUUUGAGACAGACUCACGGCCGGCAUCGCUGAGUCCAAUGGGUGAGGUGGGGCACGGCCCUACAACCCAAUUCAGACUACUCUCCCCCGGA